This is a non-coding RNA of Schistosoma haematobium, 46 nucleotides long. Lineage: Eukaryota; Metazoa; Platyhelminthes; Trematoda; Strigeidida; Schistosomatidae. The record is from Rfam.
GCACUGCUUGGGAGUCCCACAAUAGGACGAAACGGCCGUCCAGUGC